AUUGAACGCUGGCGGCAGGCCUAACACAUGCAAGUCGAGCGGAUGAAGGGAGCUUGCUCCUGGAUUCAGCGGCGGACGGGUGAGUAAUGCCUAGGAAUCUGCCUGGUAGUGGGGGAUAACGUCCGGAAACGGGCGCUAAUACCGCAUACGUCCUGAGGGAGAAAGUGGGGGAUCUUCGGACCUCACGCUAUCAGAUGAGCCUAGGUCGGAUUAGCUAGUUGGUGGGGUAAAGGCCUACCAAGGCGACGAUCCGUAACUGGUCUGAGAGGAUGAUCAGUCACACUGGAACUGAGACACGUUCCCGACUCCUACGGGAGGCAGCAGUGGGGAAUAUUGGACGAUGGGCGAGAGCCUGAUCCAGCCAUGCCGCGUGUGUGAAGAAGGUCUUCGGAUUGUAAAGCACUUUAAGUUGUGAGGAAGGGCAGUAAGUUAAUACCUUGCUGUUUUGACGUUACCAACAGAAUAAGCACCGGCUAACUUCGUG
RNAcentral lists this ribosomal RNA (484 nucleotides) under uncultured bacterium. Its description in RNAcentral is "partial 16S ribosomal RNA". It matches the Rfam family "Bacterial small subunit ribosomal RNA", at positions 30 to 507 of the family's 1533-position model. The record is from RNAcentral.